UGGGGAAUAUUGCACAAUGGGCGAAAGCCUGAUGCAGCGACGCCGCGUGAGGGAUGACGGCCUUCGGGUUGUAAACCUCUUUCAGCAGGGACGAAGCGCAAGUGACGGUACCUGCAGAAGAAGCACCGGCUAACUACGUGCCAGCAGCCACGGUAAUACGUAGGGUGCAAGCGUUGUCCGGAAUUACUGGGCGUAAAGAGUUCGUAGGCGGUUUGUCGCGUCGUUUGUGAAAACCAGCAGCUCAACUGCUGGCUUGCAGGCGAUACGGGCAGACUUGAGUACUGCAGGGGAGACUGGAAUUCCUGGUGUAGCGGUGAAAUGCGCAGAUAUCAGGAGGAACACCGGUGGCGAAGGCGGGUCUCUGGGCAGUAACUGACGCUGAGGAACGAAAGCGUGGGUAGCGAACAGG
This 409-nucleotide ribosomal RNA is filed under the name bacterium. RNAcentral describes it as "partial 16S ribosomal RNA". It matches the Rfam family "Bacterial small subunit ribosomal RNA", at positions 355 to 776 of the family's 1533-position model. The record is from RNAcentral.